This 308-nucleotide long non-coding RNA is filed under the name Elaeis guineensis (African oil palm). RNAcentral describes it as "long non-coding RNA (EGUI_LNC003238)". The record is from RNAcentral. Lineage: Eukaryota; Viridiplantae; Streptophyta; Magnoliopsida; Arecales; Arecaceae.
GGGGGCUAUUGUCCCAAUGAGAGCAAGAGAACCAGUCAAGAGAAUAGAGGAGGGUGAAGGAUGGAUGGAAAUGAAGAGAAGGGAUUUUGAGGUGAUUGUCUCAGAUUUUGGAGAUUAGGGCUUAAAGUUUUAAUAGAGAGCAAGAAGGAGAGGGUUUUGAUCAAAGAUAUGUCGAGAGGAUGUGUUUACCCUAGAUUUUAAGGUAGAAACAAGAGAUUUUUAGGCGGAUUAAGGUUUGGAUUUAAGAGAAUGUGGUCGGCGGGGAGCUUGGAGUAGGGUUUUGGUUUGGGAUGAGGAGAGGAGGAAGA